RNAcentral lists this transfer RNA (85 nucleotides) under Crocuta crocuta (spotted hyena). It matches the Rfam family "tRNA". From Rfam's summary of the family: Transfer RNA (tRNA) molecules are approximately 80 nucleotides in length. Their secondary structure includes four short double-helical elements and three loops (D, anti-codon, and T loops). Further hydrogen bonds mediate the characteristic L-shaped molecular structure. tRNAs have two regions of fundamental functional importance: the anti-codon, which is responsible for specific mRNA codon recognition, and the 3' end, to which the tRNAs corresponding amino acid is attached (by aminoacyl-tRNA synthetases). tRNAs cope with the degeneracy of the genetic code in two manners: having more than one tRNA (with a specific anti-codon) for a particular amino acid; and 'wobble' base-pairing, i.e. permitting non-standard base-pairing at the 3rd anti-codon position. RNAcentral also lists the same sequence under 3 other names. Lineage: Eukaryota; Metazoa; Chordata; Mammalia; Carnivora; Hyaenidae. The record is from Rfam by way of RNAcentral.
GCCUGGGUGGCUCAGUCGGUUGAGCAUCCGACUUCGGCUCAGGUCAUGAUCUCGCGGUUCGUGGGUUCGAGCCCCGCGUCGGGCU